ACAAGCGGUGGAUGAUGUGGAUUAAUUCGAUGCAACACGAAAACCUUACCUACCUUGACAUGUCCGGAAUCCUGCAGAGAUGCGGGAGUGCCGAAAGGGAAUCGGAACACAGGUGCUGCAUGGCUGUCGUCAGCUCGUGUCGUGAGAUGUUGGGUUAAGUCCCGCAACGAGCGCAACCCUUAUCAUUAGUUGCUACGCAAGGGCACUCUGAUGAGACUGCCGGUGACAAACCGGAGGAAGGUGGGGGAUGACGUCAAGUCCUCAUGGCCCUUAUGGGUAGGGCUUCACACGUCAUACAAUGGUCGGUACAGAGGGUUGCCAAGCCGCGAGGUGGAGCCAAUCCCAGAAAGCCGAUCGUAGUCCGGAUUGUUCUCUGCAACUCGAGAGCAUGAAGUCGGAAUCGCUAGUAAUCGCGGAUCAGCAUGUCGCGGUGAAUACGUUCCCGGGUCUU
Molecule: ribosomal RNA, 451 nt
Filed under: uncultured Thiobacillus sp.
Lineage: Bacteria; Pseudomonadati; Pseudomonadota; Betaproteobacteria; Nitrosomonadales; Thiobacillaceae
Description: bacterial SSU rRNA
Rfam family: Bacterial small subunit ribosomal RNA
Source: RNAcentral